CUGAUUACAACCAUGGAAUAAUCCAGAGAAAUUGAAAGAAAAAUCAAAGCAAACUACCAAAUUUCCUUCCUGGUCGGGAGAGGAGAAGCUUCCCAAUUGUUGACUUUUGCACAGGGCCCAACAAAUUACACAUAUGCCUUGCUAGAGCCCUCUUCUGCUUCUACCUCAUUCACAUUUUCAAACAACUUUUUGAACCUUUCAAGCAAUUCCUUAUCAGGACCAACCACAAGACUAGGACUAAUUAUGGUUGGGCAGUUCUUGGUGCCGGGCCUCACAAAUGAUCUGAAGAGACGCAACACAUGUUUAGGGAGAACCUAUGCUUUCUCUUUCUUGUUUGGCUCUCUUUAUGUUUGCAAUCAUGGGCUAGAACCCCAAACCAAAGGUGCGCAUGUUUUUGAGGAGAUAUAUCGGUUUUACGAUACCUUGAAAUGAGCCCCCCAAACCCUUACCUGGAACAAAACCAUUUCUCAACAUGUCAACAGCCACCAGGACUGAUGCAGCGACUAUCUUUGGCAUUGGAACACACUCCCCUUCCGGAAUUUUCUUCACAAAUACUGCAUCAUAAACUUGAUAUACCCAAGGCCCGUUGUCUUCAUCAGCCUCAAUGAAUGGAACAAUAGCAUCACUGUGAGCAUAACGAUUGUCCUCCCGUGCACAACUAUUUCCUGUCUGUCCCAUUCAAAUUUCACCAUUUGAUGCAAAGUAGAGGGAAUCGCUUUAGUGGCAUGGACCCAAGGUCGCCCCAGUGGCGGAUUAUAAGAGACAACCACAUCUAGCACCUGGAAUUCCAUGUAAAAUAAAAUGGUCUGAU
This 811-nucleotide long non-coding RNA is filed under the name Nicotiana benthamiana. Its description in RNAcentral is "long non-coding RNA (NBEN_LNC034162)". Lineage: Eukaryota; Viridiplantae; Streptophyta; Magnoliopsida; Solanales; Solanaceae. The record is from RNAcentral.